RNAcentral lists this ribosomal RNA (229 nucleotides) under uncultured bacterium. RNAcentral describes it as "partial 16S ribosomal RNA". It matches the Rfam family "Bacterial small subunit ribosomal RNA", at positions 28 to 253 of the family's 1533-position model. The record is from RNAcentral.
GAUGAACGCUGGCGGCAUGCCUAAUACAUGCAAGUCGAACGAGAGGAAGGAAAGCUUGCUUUCCUGAAUCUAGUGGCGAACGGGUGAGUAACACGUAGGUAACCUGCCCAUGUGCCCGGGAUAACUUCUGGAAACGGAUGCUAAAACCGGAUAGGUAGCAGACAAGCUAUUGACUGACUUAAAGUUAAGGUCGGUCCGUUCGGACCUAGUACGAAACUAGGUAGGUAGU